GAUCUACAGAGAACGGUCAAAGCAAUGCAGAUACGUGUACAUUGUCUUGUCAAAGGAGGAGGAGGAAGCGGUAAGAUUAAUAAUAAAUGAUUUUACAAUGAACUGCUUGGAUCUGUCAGAACCUCACAUUGUUCUCUUCUGUCCAUCAUGCAGUGGUUUGAUGGUUACUACGAGUAUCUGCGUUCGGUGAUGAUCAAGAGGAGGCACAGGAGAUGCAGUUCAGAUGAAUCCAGCUGACAGUCCCUCUGAGGAUCUAAAGAAGCUGCAUGACGAGUACCGUCUCCCAAGCGUCACCAGCAGCAUGGCCAGGUCUUUUGUAUGCACUGCCAUGCAGAACAGUGAUUUUGUCAGAUGAGGAGAAGCUCUUAAGUCCAGCUGAAGUGCCUGAGCCCAAAUGGAUGAAUGCGAACGCAGCUUUUUACCUGCUGAAGAUGUCACAUCCAGUAACGGUGCCUGCAGCGCCUCCAGAAAAAGCUGCAUGAAUGCACAUCAAGGAAAUACCAGAGCCACUGCCUCUCUCUCUUUGAUACUUUUGGCACACGUCAGCCAUCCGAGAGCAGAGUGCACAGCUGGAUGGAGAACGUGCCAGAUGCUGCUGACGUUAUGAAGGACUGGAGGCCUCCAUGAAGCAUCCAAGCACCGACAGACAGUAAAUCGAUCCGUCGCAUG
Cyprinus carpio (common carp) is the source of this 669-nucleotide RNA transcript. RefSeq lists it as uncharacterized. The record is from RefSeq and is a predicted model, not a curated record. Lineage: Eukaryota; Metazoa; Chordata; Actinopteri; Cypriniformes; Cyprinidae.